RNAcentral lists this ribosomal RNA (562 nucleotides) under Scylla serrata (giant mud crab). Its description in RNAcentral is "partial 16S ribosomal RNA". It matches the Rfam family "Bacterial large subunit ribosomal RNA", at positions 1797 to 2619 of the family's 2925-position model. The record is from RNAcentral. Lineage: Eukaryota; Metazoa; Arthropoda; Malacostraca; Decapoda; Portunidae.
CGCCUGUUUAUCAAAAACAUGUCUAUUUGAGGUUAUUUAUAGUCUAGCCUGCUCACUGACAAAAAGUGUUAAAUAGCCGCGGUAUUUUGACCGUGCAAAGGUAGCAUAAUCAUUAGUUUUUUAAUUGGAAACUUGUAUGAAUGGUUGGACAAAGAAAAGACUGUCUCUUUUAUUAAAAUUGAAAUUAACUUCUAAGUGAAAAGGCUUAGAUUUUCUAGAGGGACGAUAAGACCCUAUAAAGCUUCAUAAGUUAAAUAAAUUAGAUGGAUUUUUAGAAUAAAAGUAAAUUUAGUAAGCUUAUUUAGUUGGGGCGACAAGGGUAUAAAAUUAAAUAACUGCUAUUAAGGUUAGACAAUUAUAUUUGGUUGGAUUGUAAUUGAUCCUCGCUAUGGAUUAAAAGAUUAAGUUACUUUAGGGAUAACAGCGUAAUUUCUUUUAAGAGUUCUUAUCAAAGGAGAAGUUUGCGACCUCGAUGUUGAAUUAAAAUGUCUUUAUAGUGCAGAAGCUAUAAAAGAAGGUCUGUUCGACCUUUAAUUUUUUACGUGAUCUGAGUUCAGACCGG